RNAcentral lists this ribosomal RNA (422 nucleotides) under Fusobacteriota bacterium. RNAcentral describes it as "Fusobacteria bacterium partial 16S ribosomal RNA". It matches the Rfam family "Bacterial small subunit ribosomal RNA", at positions 355 to 776 of the family's 1533-position model. Lineage: Bacteria; Fusobacteriati; Fusobacteriota. The record is from RNAcentral.
UGGGGGAUUUUGCACAAUGGGCGCAAGCCUGAUGCAGCGACGCCGCGUGAGGGAUGAAGGCCUUCGGGUUGUAAACCUCUUUCGCUGGGUUGAAAGGCCAUGCUUUGGGUGUGGUUGAUUUGAACUGGUAAAGAAGUACCGGCUAACUACGUGCCAGCAGCCGCGGUAAUACGUAGGGUACUAGCGUUGUCCGGAUUUAUUGGGCGUAAAGGGCUUGUAGGUGGUUUGUCGCGUCUGUCGUGAAAUCCUGUGGCUUAACUGUGGGUUUGCGGUGGGUACGGGCUGGCUUGAGUGCAGUAGGGGAGGCUGGAAUUCCUGGUGUAGCGGUGGAAUGCGCAGAUAUCAGGAGGAAUACCGGUGGCGAAGGCGGGUCUCUGGGCUGUUACUGACGCUGAGGAGCGAAAGCGUGGGGAGCGAACAGG